This is a non-coding RNA of Thamnophis sirtalis, 530 nucleotides long. Lineage: Eukaryota; Metazoa; Chordata; Lepidosauria; Squamata; Natricidae. The record is from RefSeq and is a predicted model, not a curated record.
AGUAAAAUAAAUUUAUUAUUUGCAGAAAGAAAAAUGGAAAAAAUUUAUCCAGCAGUGAGAAAGAAUUCAAGAAAGAAAGAGCGGUAGUAGAUAAAGUAUUCUUUGCAAGAAUUUGUCAAAUUCUGAAAGUUAUGGUCCCCAGGACAUUUUGUAAAGAGACAGGUUAUUUGGUACUUAUUGCCAUUAUGUUGGUACUUCGCACAUAUUGUGACAUCUGGAUGAUUCAUAAUGGAACAGUUAUUGAGAGGUAAGCGUUAUUUAUAUAUGCCAUUAUUCUUUUAUGUUACUGUAUAUCAGAGACUAAUACUGCUAUUUUUAGAAACACAGGGCAUAAAAUUAAACAGUGUUUAACUUAAAUUAGUAAAUAUAGGCUUUAUCCAAGUACAAUACAAAAUCAAAAUUUCUUUCUAAGUGAACAUGCCAUGUUAAACCACAGACUCUCCCCUUUGCUAUUAUUCUUUCUUGGAGCUUCCUGGAGAACAAACUUCCACUUUUAAACUAACCAGUGUGGCUAAUAGAAAAGCAAAAAU